Molecule: ribosomal RNA, 995 nt
Filed under: uncultured bacterium
Lineage: Bacteria
Description: bacterial SSU rRNA
Rfam family: Bacterial small subunit ribosomal RNA
Source: RNAcentral
GGGGGAUAUUGCACAAUGGGGGAAACCCUGAUGCAGCGACGCCGCGUGGAGGAAGAAGGUUUUCGGAUUGUAAACUCCUGUUGUUGGGGAAGAUAAUGACGGUACCUAACAAGAAAGCACCGGCUAACUACGUGCCAGCAGCCGCGGUAAAACGUAGGGUGCAAGCGUUGUCCGGAAUUACUGGGUGUAAAGGGAGCGCAGGCGGACCGGCAAGUUGGAAGUGAAAACUAUGGGCUCAACCCAUAAAUUGCUUUCAAAACUGCUGGCCUUGAGUAGUGCAGAGGUAGGUGGAAUUCCCGGUGUAGCGGUGGAAUGCGUAGAUAUCGGGAGGAACACCAGUGGCGAAGGCGACCUACUGGGCACCAACUGACGCUGAGGCUCGAAAGCAUGGGUAGCAAACAGGAUUAGAUACCCUGGUAGUCCAUGCCGUAAACGAUGAUUACUAGGUGUGGGGGGACUGACCCCUUCCGUGCCGGAGUUAACACAAUAAGUAAUCCACCUGGGGAGUACGACCGCAAGGUUGAAACUCAAAGGAAUUGACGGGGGCCCGCACAAGCAGUGGAGUAUGUGGUUUAAUUCGACGCAACGCGAAGAACCUUACCAAGUCUUGACAUCCCUUGACGAUGCUGGAAACAGUAUUUCUCUUCGGAGCAAGGAGACAGGUGGUGCAUGGUUGUCGUCAGCUCGUGUCGUGAGAUGUUGGGUUAAGUCCCGCAACGAGCGCAACCCUUAUGGUCAGUUACUACGCAAGAGGACUCUGGCCAGACUGCCGUUGACAAAACGGAGGAAGGUGGGGAUGACGUCAAAUCAUCAUGCCCUUUAUGACUUGGGCUACACACGUACUACAAUGGCGUUAAACAAAGAGAAGCAAGACCGCGAGGUGGAGCAAAACUCAGAAACAACGUCCCAGUUCGGACUGCAGGCUGCAACUCGCCUGCACGAAGUCGGAAUUGCUAGUAAUCGUGGAUCAGCAUGCCACGGUGAAUACGUUCCCG